UGGCCGGUACAAAGAGAAGCGAGGCUGUGAAGCGGAGCAAAUCUCAAAAACCGGUCCCAGUUCGGAUUGUAGGCUGCAACUCGCCUACAUGAAGUCGGAGUUGCUAGUAAUCGCGGAUCAGAAUGCCGCGGUGAAUGCGUUCCCGGGUCUUGUACACACCGCCCGUCACACCAUGGAAGUUGGGGGCGCCCGAAGUUGCCUAAGAAAUAAGGUACCUAAGGCGAAACCAAUGACUGGGGUGAAGUCGUAACAAGGUAUC
This 259-nucleotide ribosomal RNA is filed under the name uncultured bacterium. Its description in RNAcentral is "partial 16S ribosomal RNA". It matches the Rfam family "Bacterial small subunit ribosomal RNA", at positions 1231 to 1500 of the family's 1533-position model. The record is from RNAcentral.